Penaeus indicus is the source of this 188-nucleotide long non-coding RNA. RefSeq lists it as uncharacterized. The transcript has 2 exons. The record is from RefSeq and is a predicted model, not a curated record. NCBI's taxonomy places the organism in Eukaryota, Metazoa, Arthropoda, Malacostraca, Decapoda, Penaeidae.
AGAACGUCCCAUUUAUCCCCCGCGUGGAUCUUCGUCGCGUUCGCUUCCUCCGCCACAACAACAGCGCCAUCUUUCCUUCUGUCGGUAUCCUGCCUCACGUUCCCUGUGAGAAGCCGCCAAGAUGUCAGCAGAUUUGUGUUGGCAAAUUAUUCGCAACAAUCAUGCCUACCUUGUCAAGAGGAGGGACA